GACGGACGCUGGCGGCGUGGAUUAGGCAUGCAAGUCGAACGGUAGGAUACCUUCGGGUAUCUGAGAGUGGCGAACGGGUGAGUAACACGUAGGUGAUCUACCCUCAAGAUUGGGACAACCCAGGGAAACUUGGGCUAAUACCGGAUGAAAGCAGCAGUGAUGUUGUUUGAAAGGUGGCGUAAGCUGCCGUUUGGGGAUGAGCCUGCGCUCUAUUAGUUAGUUGGCGGGGUAAAGGCCCACCAAGGCGAUGAUAGAUAGGCGGCCUUAACGGGUGGUCGCCCACACUGGGAUUGAGAUACGGCCCAGACUCCUACGGGAGGCAGCAGUCGAGAAUAGUCUACAAUGGCCGAAAGGCUGAUAGUGCGACGCCGCGUGAACGAAGAAGCCCUUCGGGGUGUAAAGUUCUUUUAUAUGUGAGCAGUGCUUUCUAUGUGAACAGCAUGGGGAAGAGAUAUUAGCAUAUGAAUAAGCAACGGCUAAACUCCGUGCC
This 490-nucleotide ribosomal RNA is filed under the name uncultured bacterium. RNAcentral describes it as "bacterial SSU rRNA". It matches the Rfam family "Bacterial small subunit ribosomal RNA", at positions 28 to 509 of the family's 1533-position model. The record is from RNAcentral.